GAUGAAGAACGUAGCGAAAUGCGAUAAGUAGUGUGAAUUGCAGAAUUCAGUGAAUCAUCGAAUCUUUGAACGCACAUUGCGCCCCUUGGUAUUCCAUGGGGCAUGCCUGUUCGAGCGUCAUUUGUACCUUCAAGCUUUGCUUGGUGUUGGGUGUUUGUCUCGCCUUUGCGUGUAGACUCGCCUUAAAAAAAUUGGCAGCCGGCGUAUUGAUUUCGGAGCGCAGUACAUCUCGCGCUUUGCACUCAUAACGACAGCGUCCAAAAGUACAUUUUACACUCUUGACCUCGGAUCAGGUAGGGAUACCCGCUGAACUUAAGCAUAUCAAUAAGCGGAGGA
Molecule: unclassified non-coding RNA, 336 nt
Filed under: soil metagenome
Description: partial contains 5.8S ribosomal RNA, internal transcribed spacer 2, and large subunit ribosomal RNA
Rfam family: 5.8S ribosomal RNA (bases 1-120)
Source: RNAcentral